UGGUCACCAAUUUUGACUAGUUUUAUUAUUAACAAAUCAAAAAGAAAAAGCUAUCAUUUUUCUCUUCUCCUUCACCGAAAUACGCAGCAAAGAAAGGGCUUUGAAGCUGGAAAAUUCAGCAACAUAUUUCCCUUGCUUAGUUUCUAGGUUAGCUCGGGUUGGAGGCCGUCAGGGAUAUUAUCACACUGUCAAGCUAACGCUAUUGGUAUAGUGAUUUCAAGUACUUUGAGCCUAUGGCAUGUAUAGGAGUUUAAAUAUUAGAGUAUGUGAUAUGGCUUUAACCAUAUGUGUUGGCCUAUUUUGAUUAUGGGGUUGUAAAUCUAUUUUAAUUAUGCAUGCAUGUGGUAUGGUAUUAUGUGAUGAGUUUAUAAUGAUUAUAGUAUGAAUGUGGUAAAAA
Gossypium arboreum is the source of this 397-nucleotide long non-coding RNA. RefSeq lists it as uncharacterized. NCBI's taxonomy places the organism in Eukaryota, Viridiplantae, Streptophyta, Magnoliopsida, Malvales, Malvaceae. The record is from RefSeq and is a predicted model, not a curated record. The transcript is spliced from 2 exons.